RNAcentral lists this microRNA precursor (115 nucleotides) under Physcomitrium patens. RNAcentral's name for it is "Physcomitrella patens miR156a stem-loop (ppt-MIR156a)". Its record names the gene ppt-MIR156a. Lineage: Eukaryota; Viridiplantae; Streptophyta; Bryopsida; Funariales; Funariaceae. The record is from miRBase by way of RNAcentral.
GGCGGUGGAGGAUGUGGGAGUGACAGAAGAGAGUGAGCACAGCUGAGCAUGUACAUGAGGAAGUACUUGCCCAUGUGUGCUCACUCUCUUCCUGUCGCACCUCUCCUUUGACGCU